GACUACAUUAUAAUAUAUUUGUCGGAGUUAGUAAAAACUCAAUAGAUACACAAAAAGAUGAAAUAUCAAAAUUAGAAUCACAAAUAGAUAGUUUAGAAUAUAUAUAUCAACAUGAACUAUUCACAAUAAAAUGAACAAAGAAGAAUUUAUAAUAGAUGAAAAAAUAUAUGAAAACUACGAAGGAUAAAAAAUAAAGAUAGUAUUUUCUAAUCUAGGACGAAGAUAUAAGAAAAUAGGUGAACAUUUAUAUCUAAUGUUAGAAAAAGAAGAAUUAAAAUUAGAAGAUAAAUUAACAGCAAUGGUA
This 304-nucleotide long non-coding RNA is filed under the name Capsicum annuum. Its description in RNAcentral is "long non-coding RNA (CANN_LNC021093)". Lineage: Eukaryota; Viridiplantae; Streptophyta; Magnoliopsida; Solanales; Solanaceae. The record is from RNAcentral.